UUCACUUCUACUUCUAA
This 17-nucleotide small RNA is filed under the name Arabidopsis thaliana (thale cress). RNAcentral's name for it is "ATSL137420". The record is from RNAcentral. Lineage: Eukaryota; Viridiplantae; Streptophyta; Magnoliopsida; Brassicales; Brassicaceae.